RNAcentral lists this ribosomal RNA (468 nucleotides) under uncultured bacterium. Its description in RNAcentral is "partial 16S ribosomal RNA". It matches the Rfam family "Bacterial small subunit ribosomal RNA", at positions 28 to 507 of the family's 1533-position model. The record is from RNAcentral.
GACGAACGCUGGCGGCGUGCUUAACACAUGCAAGUCGAACGGAAAGGCCCUGCUUUUGUGGGGUGCUCGAGUGGCGAACGGGUGAGUAACACGUGAGUAACCUGCCCUUGACUUUGGGAUAACUUCAGGAAACUGGGGCUAAUACCGGAUAGGAGCUCCUUCUGCAUGGUGUGGGUUGGAAAGUUUCGGUGGUUGGGGAUGGACUCGCGGCUUAUCAGCUUGUUGGUGGGGUAGUGGCUUACCAAGGCUUUGACGGGUAGCCGGCCUGAGAGGGUGACCGGCCACAUUGGGACUGAGAUAGGGCCCAGACUCCUACGGGAGGCAGCAGUGGGGAAUAUUGCACAAUGGGCGGAAGCCUGAUGCAGCAACGCCGCGUGCGGGAUGACGGCCUUCGGGUUGUAAACCGCGUUCGCCUGUGACGAAGCGUGAGUGACGGUAAUGGGUAAAGAAGCACCGGCUAACUACGUG